GCACUAGUAGCUCAGUAUCCAGAGCGUCG
This 29-nucleotide transfer RNA is filed under the name Limia vittata (Cuban limia). RNAcentral describes it as "partial tRNA-Thr". Lineage: Eukaryota; Metazoa; Chordata; Actinopteri; Cyprinodontiformes; Poeciliidae. The record is from RNAcentral.